UCCGAGUUGACCCCGGCAGUCUCCUACGAGUCCCCGCCAUAACGCGCUGACAACAUAGGAUAAGGGUUGCGCUCGUUGCGGGACUUAACCCAACACCUCACGGCGCGAGCUGACGACAACCAUGCACCACCUGUGCACGGCCCCGAAGGACACCAUAUCUCUAUGGCUUUUCCGUGCAUUUCAAGCCUUGGUAAGGUUCUUCGCGUUGCUUCGAAUUAAGCCACAUGCUCCGCCGCUUGUGCGGGCCCCCGUCAAUUCCUUUGAGUUUUAACCUUGCGGUCGUAAUCCCCAGGCGGGGUGCUUAAUGCGUUAGCUACGGCACGGAUUCCGUGGAAGGAACCCACACCUAGCGCCCACCGUUUACGGCGUGGACUAC
This 376-nucleotide unclassified non-coding RNA is filed under the name uncultured Actinomycetes bacterium. RNAcentral's name for it is "uncultured actinobacterium contains 16S-23S intergenic spacer region". The record is from RNAcentral. Lineage: Bacteria; Bacillati; Actinomycetota; Actinomycetes.